GCUUCUCCGUAAAAGGCACUAGGAAAGAAGGAGUUAAAGUGAAGGCAGGCUCGCUGGUUUGCUGAGAUCUGUCAGAGGCUGACUGGCUGGCUACAUAUCUGUCUCUUGAACAAUAGGUACCUGUAUUCUGCACGGGCUGCUGGGCAGGCAGCACUAACACUCCGGAGAAGGUCUGCCUCUGUCUGCGCCUUCCUGGUGAGAAUCCCCAGUAACAAUCCUACUUUUCAGAGGAGACAGAGAGAGAGAGAGAGAGCACGAGGGAAAAAAAGGCUGUCUACUCUGUUGAUGAAGGACAAAGCUUUGAUCAUUUUUGUUCAGGCUUCACUUGGCGGUUUUAGGUUCUUAGACUCAAGUCAGUAGUUGUACUGGCUUGCUUUCUUUCUCUUAUUCUCUCUGUAGCGUGCUCUCUCUCUUUCUUUUCUUUCGCAUUCUCCUUCUGUUGCCCUCGCUCUCUCCCUCUCUCAUUUCUCCUCAUAGGUUCAAUGCAGGCAGAUAAGUGUCACAGAUUAUUCUGAGACACAGAAUAAUCAACAUAUCGGAGCCAAUUCCCAUGACGGCAAGAGGGUGAACAGGCAGAGGAGACUGACCGAGGUUGACAAGACCAUUCUUCUGACAAGUUUUAGGUAAGAAAAUAUUUAUAUACGAUUCUUGCAUUUCUGAAUCUUUGUGACUGAGAGAGACAUUUGUGAUUAAAAAAGGAAGUCGCUAUAGGUAAAUAUUUUUGAGAGGGCAUCCUCCUUUCUAUCCCUUGCUUAGAGAAGCUGUCAGUAUUCAUGCAGGGCUUUGUGUUACUAGAAUCUUCAGAGGUGAGGUGUGCGGGGGACUGGAGGAAGGGUGAGCUGCUCUUUAUGUCUGUGUGGUGACAUUUAUCAUGCUGUUUAAAUCUAUAUCCGUAGAAAAAAUAGACUUUCUGUUUGACGAUAGUAGUGUUUUAUGCAAGGCAGAACAUAUGGCUGUGCAGAAUUCAAGUCGUGUUCUUUCAUUCUUAAUUUGUAAUUAUUUUUACACUCAACUGUACUGAGGUCAGAGAGUUUUAAAAAUUAAUGAGAUUCCCUGUGGAGUUCAAAUAGUAAUAUCUACGUGAGCCUCCACAAAGAGAUAAGAUUAGGCCAGUAUAUUUUUGCUAUAGAGUUGGCUGUCUUACUUUGAAUACAUGCCAUCUGAAGCAUAUGUUGGGUUCAAUAGUUUCUGGGAGUUGCUGUGAUUUGGAGACUAGCCCUUAAUUUAUUGUUUAGUGACCAGGAUACAGCGAGUCCCAGUUAGACUGCUGAAGAUGAACCCUGUGAGUGGAGACAUUCCUCAAACUUCACAGACAUUACUGUCAUGACAAUGGACGGUGUCUUAGACUUUCGAGGAAAUAGCAAAUGAUGAAUGAGGCGCAUGCUAAGAAGAGAAAAAAAAUCUGCAAAUGUGUUUUUAUUUUAAGUACUGUAUGAAAAUUCUAUGUAAAAUGGCUAUUUAGGAUCAAAGAUUGCUGGUCUGAACAAAGAGGUGAGGAUCCGCACAGGUGAAAAUUUCUUUGCCACAAAAUGAGUGUAGACUUUGGAUUAAGGGCAGCGAGUGAUUUGUUAUUUAUUUAUUUAUUUAUUUGUUUAUUUAUUUAUUUAAUCUCCACUCUUGCCCCACAAAGGUAGCUCACUGGGCUAGUCCAGGCAUUUAAAACUUUGAUUUCUCACAAUUUAAAAACAUUGUUUAUGUCCAUGGUCUAAGACACUGUUUAUAAGAGAGGCACUGCAAAGUAGUCUGAACAUAGAGUAAUCUGGGCUAAAGAUGUUUUUAUCCCUAGCUCCGCAUUUACAAGAUCCAUUCAGGUCUUCCCGUGACAUAUUGUUAUGUAAAUACUGUUCAGCCGGGAAAGCGGAGCUAUGGAGAUUCAAUUUACUUUGAAAGUUGUUCAUUAUAGCAAGGAUGAAUGUUAUUUAUUUGAUGCGAUUCAAAGACUGGAAAUGACUUUUUCAUUGUGGUACCUUUUGUGAUGGGUCCAGGGUGAUCUAAUCUUUUUAAUUUUGGCUUUCACACCAGUGGAGAUGAAAAGAGAUCUGAACUCAUUUAUCGGUUGCUAGGUCUUUCUGGAAGCCGAAGUUCUGCUUGUGGUUGCUAUGGCCAGGCUGACCUCAAUAUCUGUGGUUUGAGGGACUUAAGCAGUCAUUUUUUUCUUUUUCUUUUUCUUUUUUUAAUUGAGGAGCAUGUACCUUGAUUUAUGUCCAGAACUGUAGUUGAAUGUCUUUGUCCGCGGGUGAUAUAUGGUGCAGAACAAUUCAUCUGUUCUUACGAGUAAACACCGCUGUCCCACUAAAAAUAUGUUUUGUUCGGAGUUAAUGGUAUGGAACAAGGCAUUCUCCACAAACAGCUAUCUUUUAUUGUGUUGGGGCCGCGGAAACGCUGAGCAAAGUGCAGGAAAUUGGCAUCAGUCCUCGCGUCUAUUAGCAUUUCAUUUGUGAGUCGCAUGAUAAGACGGUAGGUGGACAGAGGGAGCGAGGAAGGGUGUUUCGACAUCCUCACUUUCAACUGGGACCGCCUAGCCUGUACCCGCAUUCGCCAGGACCGUCAGCCUUAGUUUCCCCUGACCUGGUGACAUCGCUUUGCCCAAGCGCUAAAGCACACCCAGGCGGACGUGCUGUGGCUCAGCACUUGGGACCGGUAGUCUUUGGCUCCUUGUGGAAAGUUGCUGGGUCCGAUAUCGGCAACACCCAGAAACGUAAUGUCUGUGUGCGAUCGAGUGGUCCCCGGUCGCUUGCUUUCUAGACUCUUGUUAGAAAGGAGCGUGGGUGAAUCAGAGCCUAUGGAGAACGAAGCCCCAUUCAGCAGAUGAGCUCGAAUACAGCCCCGCUCCCUUAAAAACUGCUAACUGAUGGAUGCUGCGGGGGGCGGGGGGGGGGGGGCAGACACCGCGAAUAAGAUGAGGGCGAAAUAGGAAUCAGGAAAGGCACGUACCGCCGCUAGCACCAUCAGUUUUCUUCUCAAAACAGCUUGGUAGAUUUUCUUUCUUUCUCUCCCUCUCUUUUUUUUAAUGUGCUAAUGAUUUUUAUUCUAAAUCGGUCAGCUCGGACUAUCCUCAGGAAAAUGAGAUCCGGGAGAAGUGACGCCCUCCUCGAACUAAAAGAUACUCAGGCUGAUGGAGUCAGGGAAGAAGCGGUUUAUCAACAGCACAGGAUGGCCGCAGGGAACAUAUUCAAACUUGCCUCACUGAGACAUCUCUGAGAUUUCCAUCAGGUGUGUGCAGGAUGCUAGAAAUGCCAAUUGUUGACUGUGUGGGUAUCUUUCUCUCUGUCUCUCUCUCUUUCUUGUACUUUGGCCCACCAAGGAAAGUAGGGAAGUUGAUGGCUUAAGUCUUAAAGCACACCAUAACAUCAAACUACUCUCUCCUAGGAUUUGACAUACCCCAAUCCCGGCUUUCCCAGACCCUCUACACCUCCACAAGCUUCUGAGCUUUAAAUUUUAAAAUCAUGAUCAUAGUUUUUCAUAUAUUAAAACAACUUGGUUUUAGAACUAUCUUUUAAAAAAUUGAGACUUGAACUUUGUUGUUUUGUUUUUUGUUUGGUUGGUUUUUUUUACAAUUGUCUAUUUACUUACGGGGGGAGGGUGUUAUUGGUUAUAUGAGUUAACUGUGAGAAAUCUAAGAAAAAUAUUACCACCAAAGGCUCUUCAAAAUAGAUGCUCACAUUAUCUUUAAAUGGCUGUUAAGUGGUUCAGAAAAAAAAAAAUUUAAAAAAAACUAGCAACAUUAACAGCUUCAGAAAAUAUAAACAGUGUCUCUUUAGAAGAACAAGUUGUGCUUAAUAGCCUAUAUGCUUAAUUUGUUCAGAAUCUCCCCAGCCUUUGUCGUUGUAUUUUGUUAGAAAGGAAGGAGAGGCUGUUUCUACAGGUGCCACAGAAAAAUCGAUGCUGAGCCACGGAUUAUUGGAUCCCAUAGAACCAUGGAGACUUGGCAGUGAAAUUCUUCCAAAGCAUUCCAUCUGCACAGGCAGAGGUGUUCCUGGUUUGGGAAGUAUAAAUCCCAUGGGGAGUCAACUGGAGGACAUUUUACAUGUCACUCAUCCUAUUAUGAGCCUGCUGCUUUUCCGUCUCGACAAGGCCACCAUCUAGAAUGGAACAGAAGUAUUCACAAAACAGCUGAAUGUGACUGUCUUCGGAUUCUUACUUAAUGAGACUCCCUGCCUUUUCUGUUUCUCGUCGAUGCUUCCAUUGUAUCCCAGUUGGCAGCUAAAGGACAGGAGCAGCAAUAAGGCUGCCUGGCUACAUUUUCAUGGUGCCACCAACUGCGAGUUAAGCUGACAAACAUUUUGAGAGCUCGGCCCAUUUCAUUCUCAGCAGGAUGGCAGCGGGUGACUGAUUGUCCCUGCCAGCUGGCUAAUAUCAUAAUUAGCAAAGUUGCUACCACAUCUGCAAAGUUUAAUCGAAAAAUUUACCAGUGGUAUGAUGGCAUUGUCACCAGGAUCCUGAGGGAAUCGGAGUCGACUUCUGCUUCAGGUGGAAUGGCAAAGCUGGAGAGCUGAGAUGAGAAACUGUAAACUUACUCAGCCAAAGGUUAUGCUUCACAUCACCCACCAGGGAGGAUCAUCUCUCAUGAAAACUUUCAAAUUUGAUUUUGAAAAUUUAUUCAGAAAAAUUUAAGCCACGCUCUUUCCCAACACAGGAAAUAAUAUGCUCGAGAGAAUCCUCUAAUUCACAGAAAAUGGACUUGGAUAACAUUUGGGUUCUCAUACUACCACAGUCCUCAUGAGAAGGACAGCCAGAAGACUGAAAGGUGAAAGGAACUUUUACAUGGAGAGGCACAAGGGACAGAACAACCUGAGUCACAAAUGUCAAGAGCAAUACUGGCUGUUCCUUAAAAGAUGGUGACUGUCAGGCAUCUCAAAGACUGCAAGAUGGAGACAGCUGUCCUCCAUGUAAAGGGAAGGAAGUGAGGCUGAGAGAAUUUACAACUAGGAGGCUAAUAAUGAAGGGGCCAGGGAAGGAGGCCAAUGCUACAGGGUUAUCUCCCAACCUCAGAUGUUGGAUAAGUGGACAGAAACAGCAUCGCUUCUGGAUGGCUUCAGGAGGGCUGGAGUGAUUGUGUGGAAGAGAAAAACCCGCCUAUUCAUUCAAAGGUACAUGAAUGUUGUCGAGACCUCCCCAUCUAAAGGUUCAUCCUUAGAAUCCUGCCUCAGACAAAGGAUGUGCUCGGAGCCCCACCACACCUAAAACCACGCUUUGAAGGAUCUGCCAAGCUCACUUUUAAUCAUGAGAAAGAAAUUACCCACAUGGAGACAGCAGAAAAUGAGAAAGUAGAGAUCGUGCUGCGAAUAAUUCCAGCGAGUGCCAAGGGGCUAGUUGAGGAAUGGCUUCAUGAGGUGAAUAUCUUUAGCUUGUACUUAGGGUUUGGUUAGCGUAUAAUCAUUUUCUCUUUUAGGAGCGAAUACAAUCUUAAGUGUAUUUCCCAUCCAAGCACCGCUCAGGGCAUUUGUCAGGAUGUUGACAGAUUUAAUAUCAGCCUCGUCCUAGCUGUUAUUUAUGAUGACUAAUUUUACAUUUAUAAAUAUGCAGAAAUCAAUGGAGGUGGGAAGGCUCUCUGAGCCCCAUGUCUGUCGCUAGCUGUCUGUCUUCAUGUGCAGCA
Long non-coding RNA from Mastomys coucha (southern multimammate mouse), 5596 nucleotides. RefSeq lists it as uncharacterized. Lineage: Eukaryota; Metazoa; Chordata; Mammalia; Rodentia; Muridae. The record is from RefSeq and is a predicted model, not a curated record. The transcript is spliced from 10 exons.